UCUCGUCACAGCCCCCUUUAAUGACGUGUAAGGGUUGUCAAGUGUAGCUGUGCUGUGGCACUAAACAUUACGGUAAAGACGUUGUAUGCCGUUGCCAGGCGAUGACGGCGGGACGUGCCAACUUUUGGAGUGAAGAGCACAAAAGGCACCUAACUUUUAUUAUUUUUAUUUUGUUUUUACGAGUGACAUCCUGUGCCGUUGUAACAUUUCAUUGACGGGUUAUUGUUGUUUUUUUGUUUGUUUGUUUUUUAUCGGUAGAGGAGGUUUAAGGUGAGUAUGUUUUUGAGUUCGUUCAAAGCUAAUUUUCUGAAAUACCCUAUGGGGUGGAAAAGCUACAACGUCGGCUAAAACAGUUCCUCUUGCACAAAGACGUCAUAGAAAUAAGCCCCUGACAGUAAAUAUUGACGUAACGGGCACAUUAUCCAAGUUCACUUCAAACACUUUAUCUCACACACCUCCGAGCGCUUUGGUUUGCUGCGAUACGUCAGCGCGCCUACCAUAUUGGAUGUGGCAGAUCUUCCCUCGGCCUGAACAUUUUAAAGCACAAGAAAGUACUAAAUUUGCCUUUUCCUGUACGCUUUGUUUUUCAGGGGGUGGAAUAUGAGUGAUUAAAUUUUUUCACCACCAAAAGUUUGUGGUUUGUAGGCCCGCACACGACAACGUAUUCGCCCUAAAUAAUUUAUGAAGGCAAUAAUAUAAAACAGUUCUCUAAAAUAAGGCCAUGGACAGGGAAUAUCCUUCCAUCCAUUUUCUUCUGCCUAUCUGAUGUCUUAGUUCUUUGAAUCUGUUGCAUCAUCAGCGUUCAUGCUCCCUGGUUCACAUUCCGCCAACCCGUUGCUGUUUGUUUUUUCCCACCUUAUUCAAUCUGAAUCACUUAGUUAAGAUCUCAACUGCAGUUGGUUUCCCGGUCUCUGUUUAUCAUUUCAUUUCCGUGGAGACUAAAAAAGUAACAAAGCCACUUUUGCAAUUUAAGGAUUGGUAGAAUUUACUGUACAGGUAAUAACUGCUUUCAAAUGGAGUACUGUAUGAUUAAAAAUUCACAAGAACUACUAAAAGUUGAGUACAAAUGCCUGAAAAUCUACUUUGACUGCAGUAAGAAUGUACUCUUACUUCAUUACUUCCCAAGAAAGGACCGAAUAUGAUGCACGUCACUUUUAAACUUAUGAUUAUAAAUGUUUACGCCUUACAAGUGUGAGAUGGAGGUAAGCACCAAGCCAACAUAUGUGCAGUGUUUCAAAUCUUUCCAUGACUGUAUACGGCUGACAAUGAAUUUAACCAGGUUCAUGUGAUGAUAAAUAUGUAUAUUAAAUAUCCAAAUGUUGAUUUUUGUGUGUAUACUAAACAUAUCCUGAAAUUAUGUUAAGUUAUGACACUUUUUCUGAAUAAAGGGGAAUGGUGGAUUGGUCCAUAUUUCAGCAGGAAAACAACUUAGUACUUAGUCAAGAUACUGAAGGAGUUACUUCAAGGACUACUCUUGAUAUCCUUGAGUAGUCCAGCAGAAGCCAAAUCUUGAAUCCAAAUGAACAUCUCGGGAGCGAUUUGAAAAUGGACGUGCACCAACAAUCCCCUUCAACCAACUGAGGCUGCAAAGGAGAAUUGGUGAAACUGACAAAGAUGGGCUGUGCCAGACAUGUGGCUUCAUGCACAAUAUGUCAGAAAGCUUCCACGACUAGGGUAAUGAAAGAUGUAUUUCACAAUCUAACCACAAAGUUUUCUGCUUUGUAGUAUAUAUUAGGUUUCAUUUAUUACACUUAUUAUAACCCUCUAAAGGGAAAUUCAGCCAACACUCUCACACUCCUUUGUGUUGCACAUUGCCUGGAGAACCAGAUAUAAAACAUCCAGCAUGUAAGGGCAGAUGUCGGUGCAAGAGGCAUGAAAAUAACGCUGCACACCUUCAGCUGAGGGGUGGGGACCAGGCCUACCUGUAGGGCACCUUAACAGUAACCAGCAAACAGAGAAUAGCUUGUCUCCAACAAUGGUGGCCAUGUUUACAUUUUUGUCUGACCCUUCAACUCCACAGCCGAAAAAUCGAUACAAAUGAGCUCCCCCUCCAACCCCGCCCCCAAAAGCCUAAAACACCUUCCCAGCCUUCUCUGCCAUAUCUUCAUACUCUCCUCAAAAGAUUCUUGCAGUAUCCUGCACAGCUCCGUCGGAAGAGAAGAAGAAAAGAUCACAAGGAUGCAGUGAGUAGGUUGCGCUAGCAGUUUGAUGUUCUUUUUUUAGCCAGGAAGUGUUGGAUGCUUGGGGUCGUGAGCCAAGGAGUCAUAAGUUGUCCUUCUAAAACUCUCCUUGCAAGUUUUGUUUGUCAAACUUGUGUACACAUGAGGAAUUGCCUGUUUCACUAAUCAAUAGGACUUGUCCCGCUCACUCCUGUCGAUGAUUUCCAUCGCAGAUUCACAUACAAGACAACGGUGACUCAUGGCUCAUGAACUUCGAAGUCAAUCAGCUGAUGUGAGCAAAAAUGCUCACCCAGCAACUCGGCGCCUGGGAUCUCAAUCUCUGGUCCAUAUGGGUCUGGCUUUAGGAUCUGAAGGCUUUCAGUUUGAUGACAGAGGGAUGCUUCUUCCACACAGCAUCCUGGGUACCUUGGAUAGCUUUAGAAACUACUUGGAGGCUAGAGGAGAGACAGAGCUGGUUAGGCAAAUCCCCAAUUUCAGACGAGACUGUCCAUCCCAGGUCCUUGGGAAGCAUCCUCAUGAGGGAGUACACAAUCGGCGAGAUGUUCCUUUUGGCCAAAGAAACAUACAAGCAAACGCACUGCAGCAUUGGGAUGAAUAUAUCAAGCAGCGCAGACGACAGCAGAACAUCUUAUCGGAACGGCUCCAAAGGCCAGUCGAGAAUUUACUGAUGAACCGAGAUUACAGUUUUAAAGAACUACAGCAGCAGAGAGAACUUCUACGUCGAGUCUUGCCUCUCAUCCAGUCAGGAUAUGGGCACCGUGUGGGAAGUGAAUUUUGGAGCCUCCCUCAGCACUAUGGAAACGAACUAAGUGGGAUCAGAGCCACUCUGACACAGACGGAACAAGGCAAACGGAAGCCUGUCACAAUUGUCGGACAGCCACACAGUAUACUCCAGGAAUCUGGAAUCACUUGUGCUGAGAUGCUACAUCCAGCUUCUCAGAUUUUGGACCCAAAUAUGGGCAUGCAGCAAUGUGCACUUCAAGAGGUCCAGCAGGGCUUGGAAAUCAACAAGAAGGAUCUCAACCAGCUGGUGGUGAUUGGCUCCAGCAGACCUGUUGGUAAAGAGGGCCACAGUAUUUUGUUGGAUGACGGAGAGAGUGUGAGCAAGCAGCGUUCAGAGAUACGAAACGAGAAUCCUGACCCAAUGCCAAAUAAUAAUGGUGGCAAGUCUAAUUCUCUCCUCAUACCUGGCCUGAGGUUUGCUGGUCAGCUUGCUCGCUGGACUGGAAAUUCUACUUGUCACCAGGGAAUGGUAGGAAUCAUCACAACAAUAAUAUUUGAGGCUCUUGUCGGAGAGCGGGUCUCGUCUCAGCUGGAGAUCAGCAAUGUGGGUAGCACAGCUCUUCUCUUCAGCUGGCAGCAACUUCCCCUGCCACAGAACUUCUCAAACCUGCAGUCACAAUCAAGCAGCCCACAUUUUUACUUCAACACCUCCUCUGGGGUCAUCUAUCCAGGUGAGACCCAGCAAGUGGAGUUUAUAUUUAAGUCAGCAAAGCCAGGCAUCCGAACUGAGCAGUGGCAGCUCAACACCCACCCUUUGCUGCUGAAAGGGGCCUCCAUUCAGGUCACACUGAAGGGGGUGUCACAGUUGCAGGACAAAACUGCAAGACAGCGGCAAUUCAUAGAGACAAAGCUGGAAGAGACAGCAAGACUGGAAAUAUGCCGCAAUAUCGUGUAUGAAUUGUUGCGAGGAAUUCAGACUCCAGAGAGAUCCAGCUCUCCUGCAGAGCCAUACACGUUGCAGUACUUUGAUCAGUCAGAAGAGGACCUAAAUAAGCUUUUGCAAGAAAUGAAUCCAGAACACAUCUGGGACCUCUCUGACACAUCCAGACAGGUAGAAACAUUAUACGACGAUGUGCCGCAAUCACACGUGUAUCCAUUUUAUGGUUGCUGCGCUUUCUUUGCCUGUAUAAGGACUUGAGAAAAUAAUUUCUCAAGCACUAUGAAGAUGAGAGCUUUUAUUGUGCUGGCUUACGUAGUCACAUCAUGAGUAGCUGUGUGUGCGUCAUGGCUCUAUGGAACUAUAAAUGUCUGUCAUGUGUAUAGUGAGAAACAGGCAUGCUUGUGUGAUAACAUAUUCUGCUCGGUUCUUCUCCCCUGUAAAAGCUGAGUCACAGGUCAGCUACAACCUGCUACUCGCAAAGGUACCUUGGUAACAGUAGACUGUAAAGAUGUGCAUCUGUGCUGGUCAAAUACAUACGGCUUUAACAUUGCCUCAGACGGCGCAGUUUCCAACAUAAGAUAUAUUUAAGUGGAAGUCAUACAGUCACAAUGCUGAAGUUACCUGCUGUAAUAAAAUACAUUUGAAAUACAACAAUAUUGUAGAGUAUAUACACAAAUAUUAGCAUCGACACUUUAGAUUCAGCAUUUAUGACAUUAUUAACCAGGAAAACUGCCAAAUAUGUCGUGUAGGACCAUUUCAAGUGUAUUAUUUUUCUCUCUCUCUUAUUUUCAAUCGCUCUUUUUACCUUGCUGAGGAUCAUUUCAGACUGGAUGAAUGGAAACAGGCUUAGCAGACUUAUUUCCCUCAUCCUAAAAAAAAUCAGUUCACUUUAAAACUUCCCAAAUUAAUGAAUGCAGCAUUUUUAAUCCUUAAAGGUCUACUGACACACAUGGCAUGAUUUUUAGGAGGUUAUUGAUUUAUAUAUUAAAAAAAAGGGCAGCCGGAAUGGACCCAUCUGUUUUUUCACCACACCUCAUGAUUUUGUCGUCUAUGGAUUUUUGUAUCUCCCUGGAAGAAAAUCCUCUCGAGGCAUUCAUUUUGGAGAAGAAGAAAGAAGUGAUGUUUUUUUCAGACGCCCACACUAGCGGGUUUUUGUGUUUAUUCCUGUUUAACGGCGGGAAAGUAGCUGUUUUUUCCUGUGUGUUAGCCAAAAUGUUGGCUCGUUGUAUUGCUGAAUAUUGUUCGAGCACUCGGGAGGAUGGAUUCACUCUUGACACGUUUCCAAAAGACCCGGUUUGCUGUAAAAAAUGGAUUGCACAGGUGCAAAGGAUGAGAGCUUCCUGGGUUCUAAAUGACAGGUAGGUGUGUAUAGAGCUAUUUAAAAAGAAAUAGUUCGGGGGGGGGGCGACGUAAUCCUCUCAGAAGUAACAAAAGAUCCACGUCAUAAUAACGUAAUAAAGUACAUAAGUCAGGGAUGCUAAAUGUGUCAAUGUGCGCGGCCGCUGCGUUGUUGUCAGCGUUGAUGGACAACACCGUCCCGGAGGUGGAACAGGCAGGGAUGUGGUUUGGCCACGUGCAGUUUGGCUGCAUGCGGGAGGAGAAAGGAGCCCUCCCACCCCCACCGGUGUUUCGCCCGGCAUGGGUCCUCCCGAGUAUGCUACAUACCGGCUCAUACAUACUGUCCGGGAGUCUGUUGUUAGUUAGAAAUGAUUUGCAUAUCUAAAUAUAUAUAUCUAAUGGCUCAAAACGAUAAGGUAAUACGGUCACUUCACUCGAUUGUGAGAUGUUCUCUUCUUCGAAAAGAGCUUCCGUGUUACAAGGGGCGUCGGAAAAAUCCAAAAAUCUCUGUUGGCACAGCGUUUUCUCAAUGGCGACUGUCCAAUUGUGACAGCUGUAAAUGACGUAGCAGGCAACAAGGCUACCACUGGGAUGUCGAGUGAGACUUCCACAACUUUGCGCAUGAAUGACACGCUCUCCGCACAUUUUUUUUGUACAGACAUUGAAGUGAAUAUAUGGAAUUAUUUGUAAUUUUCAAAAAAAUAUCAAUUUUACAAUGUAUAUAGGUAUGUCGGGAGACCUUGAAAGCAAAUCAGGGGUGUCCAAACUACAGCAAGGGGGCUAUUCACAGUCUACCAUCUCUUAUUUAGUAGCCAGCAGAAUAUACUAAAAUUAAUAGUUGACACACUGUCCUACUUAAUUUCUUUAGUUCGGUGAAAGGCGUAAGCAAAAAUGAAGACAUUUCUUCUUAUCGCUCCCUCGUUUUCUAUCAUUCAAUAAGACUGAAUACUCCUGUGACGGUUCAGUGUGCAUAGUUUUGCGUUUCGUAUUGUUGGGGGUGUGGGGCAUUUGGCCUAUUGUAACUGUCCAAGUGAUGCCCUCGACUACUGCUCUGAUAUGCCUACUACUAAUAAUGUUAAUCCAUGAUUUGAUAAUAUAGUGCUUUUCUAGCCCUGCAAGAACAACUAAAGAGAGUAACAAUAUUCCUAUUCAUAACACCUGGAUGGAUAAAGAUAAUUCAGUACAGCAGCAAAUAGUGUGAAUUGUGAUUGUUUGCUCCGCUUUCUGUUGUGUCAAGGUCACCUCGGCACAGAUUGCUCUUCUUUUGGUUCUAAAUGUCAAGAUGGGAUUCUGCAGCUGCUCAGUACAAGGCUGAGUUGAUUGUAGUCCACCCAAAAACUUUUUCAAAUCAUUAAUAGGUUGUUCUUUUUUUUAAAUAAACAUAUAUAAAAGCUAUCAUUGCUUUACCAACACUGAUGACUUGAUUUUUCAUUUUUUUCUGUAAAUACAUUAAAGGUAAAUAAUCCUCUGAGUCUUCUGUGGCCCUUGGAAGAAAAAGUAUUGACAUCCCUGAAGUAAAUCAAAAUAUAUUGUAUAUCAGCAUAGACUAAUAAAGCAAAUGAAAGGAUCAAGCCCAGACUUUGUAAGGUCAACAGGAAUUGACCCCUCCAUACAGGGCACUUAACCACGCCUCCUGAAGUGACGUCAAGCCUCGUGCGCUGACGUCAGACAAACAAUUAGCAAAAAUAUCGGCGCAGCAAGAAAAGAAUAGAGCGAAACUGUCCGAUUUACCGGCUGAUUUCUCACUCGCAUUCUUCGCUAACAGUGAAAUAUCGUUGAAAAGCAGACAGCAGGGCUUCAAGUAUUUCAGCGAGCGGUAUUUCAAUGAGGGGUCAAUUGUCCGUCCAUCCAUCCAUUUUCCCGAGCCGCUCAUCCUCACAAGGGUCACGGGAGUGCUGUGCCGCAGCCUUUCUCAUCUGUCAUCGGGCAGGAGGCGAACUCCACACGGGCAGGUCCGGGAUUUGAACCCCGGUCCUCAGGACUGAUCCUCUGGAUGAUGAAAUGGGCAGUCAACGUACUUCAAUGGAUAAAUUCAUUGAUGAUGAGCAAGACGCAAACUGUGAUGACACACAAGACAACACAGAUGAAUGAUGACAUUCUUA
Syngnathoides biaculeatus (alligator pipefish) is the source of this 7283-nucleotide RNA transcript. It is a transcript of the gene named mycbp associated protein, with no coding region annotated. The transcript is spliced from 14 exons. The record is from RefSeq and is a predicted model, not a curated record. NCBI's taxonomy places the organism in Eukaryota, Metazoa, Chordata, Actinopteri, Syngnathiformes, Syngnathidae.